Molecule: long non-coding RNA, 546 nt
Organism: Perca flavescens (yellow perch)
Lineage: Eukaryota; Metazoa; Chordata; Actinopteri; Perciformes; Percidae
Exons: 2
Source: RefSeq, a predicted model, not a curated record
UUAAAGAGUGGACAAACUAGCCAAAAACACUGUUAAAUAAAGAAAAUAUAGACGCAUUAGCAAUCAUUUGUCUCUCAAAAUCAGAAGGAAAGGGCAUUGUACGGAAGGAAAUCAAGAGUGGCAUCAGCAUAAUUGGGAGAUAAGAGGAAGACAUUCCAUUCAACAUACAUCAGGUGUCAGAAACUGUAGAGUGUGUGCUUGUCAGAGCGACAGUGAAAGAAAGAGAUGAAGGACAUGAACCGAAAAGAUUAGGGCUAACAAGAGCAGGAGUAAAUAAGAACAUAGCCUACUGGAGUGUGGUGGAAGGAGUCUUGGAGGCAAGUGGACAAAGCAGAAGAUGCUCAGCUUCCUAAUGAGAACAGGAGGAAAAUCUGAAAGACUGGACACUGAGUGAACUAACUCCAGUAGAUGGCAGUAGUGCAACAUGGAUGCAAGCUGCCGUUAAACCAGAAGAAGGAAACAAGUAGGGUUAAAAGGGUUUUAUUUAAAUGAAACAGGUUUAAUAUCCAGAAUAGAACUUCUUAAUAAAGUUGUUUUUGUUUUUUA